RNAcentral lists this ribosomal RNA (244 nucleotides) under uncultured Leptotrichia sp. Its description in RNAcentral is "partial 16S ribosomal RNA". It matches the Rfam family "Bacterial small subunit ribosomal RNA", at positions 109 to 355 of the family's 1533-position model. Lineage: Bacteria; Fusobacteriati; Fusobacteriota; Fusobacteriia; Fusobacteriales; Leptotrichiaceae. The record is from RNAcentral.
AGUAACGCGUAAGAACUUGCCCUUUAGACUGGGAUAACAGAGGGAAACUUCUGAUAAUACUGGAUAAGUUAGUAUAUCGCAUGAUAUGCAAAUGAAAGCUACGGCACUAAAGGAGAGCUUUGCGUCCUAUUAGCUAGUUGGUAAGGUAAGAGCUUACCAAGGCGAUGAUAGGUAGCCGGCCUGAGAGGGUGGACGGCCACAAGGGGACUGAGAUACGGCCCUUACUCCUACGGGAGGCAGCAGC